UGGAGGUAAGCAGAUUUUCUCAGCUAAUUGAAAGCACACUCGAUUUGGACGUUCAGUAUGAUGAUUGAUUAUUUUCUGGACCUUCAGAGGCACCAGUUUCCACAGGAUUCAACAUAUUGUCCCCUGAAGUUCCUCCUGUAGAUUCUUGAUUCUUUGUUGAUUUUAAAGUGUUGGAGGAAUUCUUGAUGAAACAUGACCUUUUCGUUCCUUCAAAGUUUUUUCUUUUGAAAACAAAUUUAGGAAUGCUUCUCCCCUCUAAGGGUAGAAGAGUACAUAUGGUUUAAAGAGGUAGGGUUAACGGGUUAAAUAUUCUUUUGGUGCGGAGGUAAGCAGAUUUUCUCAGUUAAUUGAAAGCACACUCGAUUUGGACGUUCUGUAUGAUGAUUGAUUAUUUUCUGGACCUUCAGAGGCACCAGUUUCCACAGGAUUCAACAUAUUGUCCCCUGAAGUUCCUCCUGUAGAUUCUGGAUUCUUUGUUGAUUUUAAAGUGUUGGAGGAAUUUUUGAUGAAACAUGGCCUUUUCGUUCCUUCAAAGUUUUUUCUUUUGAAAACAAAGUUAGGAAUGCUUCUCCCCUCUAAGGGUAGAAGAGUACAUAUGGUUUAAAGAGGUAAGGUUAACGGGUUAAAUAUUAUUUUGGUGUAAACUGCUUUUGCAUCUGAGAGACCAAUUCCAUUCACCUGUACAUGGUAGUACUAAUUUCUUAUGUAAAGCUAUAUUAAUAGCCAGAUGUUUUCACCAAAAACUGACUCCAAUGAAGAGAUGAUCUACAAUUGUCUACAAUUGUUUAUGGAUAUCAGUGCUUGGCUUUGACCUGAUUGGUUUUUAGCAGUUUUGCAUUAAGAUUUCACCUGAACAUGGUACUAAUUUCUUAUGCAAAGCUGUCUUAAUAGCAGUUUUGCAGCUAUUUUUACAAAAAAUACCAGUGCUUGACUUGGACCUCAUUGGUUUCAUUUGCUGCCAGUUUUGUGACAGUUAAGCAUUCUUCUUUUAUCUAACGGCGAACGUGAUAUGGGGUCAUCUGUCUAAGCUCUGAUGGACAUUGUUCCAUGGAAGUUGUGCUUGUGGGAGGUAGCAGAUAGUGGCGGAAGCAGUAUUUUCACCAAAGGGAUUCAAACAACUAUAGAGGUAAACACGCGAAAAAGCUAAGGGGAUUGAUUCAACAUCUUAUAUAUGUACAUGGUGAAAAAUAUUUGAUAUUAUAUAAAUAGUGUAAUUUUAGGGUGAAGGGAGUUUGCAACCUCCUUCAGCCCACCUAGCUCCGCUUCUGGUAGCAGGUACUUGCAAGCUGGCUCGGACAACCACUGCUAUAAAAGAAAAAAUAGAAACGGCACUGGUUGGAUAAUAGUUGUACUAUGAAAAUAACAGGUUCUUGGUAGCAUGAUGUGAAAUUUCUAUCUAAUUAGAUUAUGGAGAUCAUCUAGUCAUCUGAUUACUUAAGACAGUAAUAUACCCCAAUUCUAAGUUUCUAACAUGAAACACAAAGUAAGCAAAGGUAGGAAUAGAGUAGUUAGUUUAGACUUCUUUAGUUAGAUUUAAGAGACCAGUAUAAAGGAAUGCAAGUCUGACUACGUAUAAAAGCUCUCUUAUUAUGAUAAGUGACCAAAUAACGUGAGGUUUGUUACGAUAAAUAGCAAUUUAUGGUGGAUGUCUACUCUUCUUUCAUGAUCUUCAUCUCAAAUGGUUUAUGACAUAUUCAAUGGCUAUUUUGUAUAUUCCAUGACAUAUUUUCUUCACUUUUUAUGCCUAUUUAAAGGCCUUGUAAUAGAUAGGAAAACACACAAUUGAAGAAGAAAAUCUAUUCCCUCUCUAUCUAC
RNAcentral lists this long non-coding RNA (1815 nucleotides) under Nicotiana benthamiana. Its description in RNAcentral is "long non-coding RNA (NBEN_LNC008194)". The record is from RNAcentral. Lineage: Eukaryota; Viridiplantae; Streptophyta; Magnoliopsida; Solanales; Solanaceae.